CCUACGGGAGGCAGCAGUGAGGAAUAUUGGUCAAUGGACGAGAGUCUGAACCAGCCAAGUAGCGUGAAGGAUGACUGCCCUAUGGGUUGUAAACUUCUUUUAUAUGGGAAUAAAAUGUUCCACGUGUGGGAUUUUGUAUGUACCAUAUGAAUAAGGAUCGGCUAACUCCGUGCCAGCAGCCGCGGUAAUACGGAGGAUCCGAGCGUUAUCCGGAUUUAUUGGGUUUAAAGGGAGCGUAGGUGGCUUGUUAAGUCAGUUGUGAAAGUUUGGGGCUCAACCGUAAAAUUGCAGUUGAAACUGGCAGUCUUGAUUACAAUAGAGGUGGGCGGAAUGCGUGGUGUAGCGGUGAAAUGCUUAGAUAGCACGAAGAACUCCGAUUGCGAAGGCAGUUCACUGGACUGCAACUGACACUGAGGCUCGAAAGUGUGGGUAUCAAACAGGAUUAGAUACCCCUGUAGUC
RNAcentral lists this ribosomal RNA (460 nucleotides) under uncultured bacterium. RNAcentral's name for it is "partial 16S ribosomal RNA". It matches the Rfam family "Bacterial small subunit ribosomal RNA", at positions 338 to 795 of the family's 1533-position model. The record is from RNAcentral.